UUACAACCCGAAAAACCUAAAAAUGCUUCAAGUUCGCACCUAUAUUGGUAAGUUAGCAGCAACUUGAAGCUUUUUUCCUCUUUUCCGGCCACCUUCAGCGACCUCACCCCAAAGGUAAAAACCGCAUACCUUGAAAACUUUGGAGACCACACCUACCAAUUGCGCUAUUAACCUUCAUAAGUGACAUCCACCACCGAAAAAAUCCAGAUUAACUACCACCUGUGAAGCUGGAAAUCAUUCAAAUCCUGCGUUUUUGAAUGGUUAAUAUUUUUAUGGUGGGUUUCUGUUUUUUUAUAAUUUCUUUAGGGCUACAACUCUUGUAAUUUUUGUGGUGGUAUGUUUCACUAUUGGUUAGGGUUUUUGUGUUAGUAUGUUUCAAAUAAUAAUUAUUUAACAAUUUUCACUCAAACAACAUCAAAUUAGAGAUGGAUAUGUCACGAAACUUGGUUGUUUAUUGGUACUUUAGCAUGUACAUGAGUUGGGUUUGACCUAAACACUACAGAGGAUGAUGCAUCUCUAUGAGAAGUUCUUAGUUUGGGCAACUUAUUAACUUUGAUGCGCUAAGCUUUAUUAGGUUUGUUUGUGGAGUUUGGUUUGGUGUGGAUGACACCACAUUCCAUAUUUGAUAUGUUGGUUGCCUCUAGUUCGACUCUAUUGCAGGGGAAAGAAAAGUGUUUUGUUUGUUUAAUUCUGAAAUUUUUAAUUGUAUAUGAUUUAAAUUUUUAAUAAAUUAAAAUAUAUGAGCAGUCAAUCUAGUUUAUUUCAUCAGCUAGUGAUAGACAGCUAUGGGUCUUGAUUAGGGGAAGAAAAUGGGAAAAAUGGAGUUUUAGCCUAGUUAUGGUAUACGAGUCUCUUUCAUCAUAUAUAACAACUGGUCAUUCUCUACUUAUUAGCUCACUUGAAUUCUCUCAUUUGGCUUGGGAUCACUGGUUCAUGUUGAGGAUCUUGAAAAGUGACAAAUUGAUUUUGAAAGGAAAAUGUUCUUGGUGAAGGUGAAUAUGGGUUUAUUUACUCAAUGGACCUCUAAUGGCAGUUAAAAAGACCAUUACCAAUCUGUGAGUUUGAACAUGGCUCUAUCGUAUUUACAACUUUGUUAUGGUUAUUUAUUUAUUCCUCUUUGUUAUGGUUUCUUAUUUAUUCCUCUAGUGAUAUCAUCUAGAGUUUAACUUUCUAAACUUAUUUUCUCUAGGGAUUGUAGAGAUAGAAUUUACAGUUGAAGUUGAUGCUAUGUGCACCAUAAUAAGUGGGUUAGACUUCUUGUAUACUACAUUGAAGGGAACCAUAGUUACGUACUCUUUUUCUUCUAAAUAUCUAGUUAAAUAGUUUGUUUGCUUGUUUUCCAUGUUUGGCUUAAAUAUUUGACAAGUUGCAUCAUCACCUAAAUUUUAGGAUCUAGGUUACUGAUAUGAGACAAAAAAAAAAAAAAAAAAACCUUUGGUGAUUACCAAGGUUUAUAAUUUCAACUUGGCCAAGUUGUUGGCUACUAGGAAAAGUCAUGACAACUUAACUUUUAGGAAUUAGGAAUCCUGUAGGAAAAUUAAAGUUGUUUUGCAUUCCUAUGCCUUUGAACAAGUCAAAAGGAAAAAUAAAUAAAUAAAUAAAAAAGUUAGAAUGAAAAUAGCAUUUUAAAAUAAGAAUAUAUCAAACUAGAAAUGUUAAGUUAUUAAAUGGAAGAAAGAACGAAAGAUUACAAAUGCAAUCUUAGAAUUGAUUAAUUUUAUUGUUUAUACUAUUUCUAAAAUAAUAGUAAGAAAAAAAAAUUAUAAUAUGGUAUUUUCCAUAUAAAAGGAGAUUAAGAUAUCGUUUAGGCACAUUGCAUCGUUUUGUUUAUUUCUAUACUUUCCUUUUAAUAUGAAUAAUUUGAGAUAAAAUAAUAGAUAAAUAAUUAUAUCAAUAAUUAUAUCAUGAAGUGAAUUUGUUUCUUUAAGAUAAAUGAUAACUUAAGAUAUCUUCUAACCUUUGGUUCCAAUAAAAAAACACUUAAAAAGAAAAAAAUGAUAAAGAAAUAAUUUUCUCAAAUUUGAUUCACCUUAAAAAAUGUGAAAUAAAAUCAAACAUAAUUUUAAUAAAUUACAACCUCAUAUAUUUUAAAUUAUUUAAUCUUUAUAUAAAAUAAAAUUAAUGUAAAUAAAAUGUCAAUAAGUUUGUAAAAAUAAUUUUAAAUUUUAUAACUAUUUAUAUUUUUCUUUCUCUUUUUCCUUUCUUCUAAUUUUUUUUUUCCUUAAAUUUUUCCAAGAAUCAAAUAUAAGAUAAAAGAUUUUUCAAGGGAAAUAAUUUUCCAAGAGUUUUCUGAACUAAAUACUUCUAUGUUUAGGGCUAAUAUUAUGAAUUCACUGUACAACUAUAUUUGUAUUUAUUAAUUCAUUUAUUCUUAUAUGUCACUUGAAUGAUGCUAUACUAGAAGUAUUGGUGACUUGAUUAGAAACUGGGGCUAUAUUGUUUUCUAAAUUUUAAACUAUUUAGUUAAUAAUCAAAUUUAGAAAUGAUUAACCUAUACUAGAAUAAAACAAAGGAAGUGUUGAAUGAUAUUGAUUGACAAGAGACUAUUUUGAAAUGUUCUUAAGAGCUAUGAUUAAAAUAUGGGAAUGGAUUUUUGAUCAUUGUGAAUAUAUCAAACAUUAAUUGCAUAUAUGGAAGGAUGAAGUAUACUUUUUUUUUUUUCCCUUUUGCUUUCCUUUUUGUUGACUAUAAUUAAAGAUAAUUCAUUCGUUUUUUCACGUUAAGAUUGUUCAACUAAUUUGAUUAAAGUUAGUACUAUUAAAGUUUGUUUGUAGGCUUAACAAGUCCAAGAUUCAUACGGAAAUAAUGAUAUAUAUGUUAGCUUAUAUAGUUAACAAAUCUCUUUUCUUAAAUAUCAAUUUGCAAUUAUGGGAUAGUUAAUAUUAAAAGUAUAACAAUUGAUUAUUUUACUGAUUUUAGAAGUUGAAUGUUUGUGUUUAAUUAAGUCUACUUAAUUCCCAUUUUGAUAUCUAUAAUCCAUGUUUACAAUUGGGGAGAUUUGCUCCAUAUUGAGUUAAGGCAAAGUUUUCAUGAUUCAUGGGUUUUUUAAUAAACACACACAUCACUUCAAGAUUCAAAUUGGGUUAUUGGCCAAUAAUUAUUGGGUGUUUAUAGGAAGUAAAAUGAUAUCACUUUAAGAUUCAAUUUGGGUUCUUUAGGCUGAUAUUUAUUAGGGUUUCUGUAGGUAAUAAUAUGAUAUAGGAUGUAAGAAGUAGAAAUUAAUAUGUUAAUUAAGUAGCAAUAGCAUGCAAAAAAAGUUUUUUAUUUUUCUUAUUCUUUUUUCUAUGUUCAGCCUUGGUAUUUUAUUAUUUUUCUUUGAUCCUCUUAUCAAUUAUUAUUCCUUAGAUUUUUUGUUUGACCUUUAUAUAUUUGUUCCACGAGAAUAUGACAUGCUGAAUAUGUUUGAUUUUGAUAAGUUGAAGACAAAAAUUUGAUUUUAUCAAGCAUUUUGUUAAUAAAAUGGACAACUUCUUUUCUUCAUAGUUACAUUGUUUGAUAUGAUUUACUAUUGAAGUAAAAUAAUUUUUUAUUUUCAUUAACUUUUAAUAAUUAUUGUGUUUAAAUCAUGCCUGGAAGGAAUAAUUAUGUUAUAUUCUUGUAUUUGCUAAAUUUUUAGUAUUUAUUAGUUCUUUGUUUUGUUGCUAAUAAAAUAGAGGAUAAGUGAUGAAGUGAUUACAUUGUUAGGCAUACUGGAAAUUGCAAUCCACAAUACAUGAGGUGCACCAUCAAUCAGGUAAUAAUCAAUUGUUUAAAAUGCUCGAAUAUACUACUAUGAUUUGUUUGCUUAAAAUCAUAAAGACCAUUGAUAUUAUUAUCAAUUUCUUAUGUUGCUUCAACAAAUCCCAUGCACUACUGACCUUUUGACUACAUCAGGAAUGCAAUUAGCCUUGUUGGUCCAACCUUUAGCCCUUCCUCAUCCAUCUGAGGAGCACAUCCAAGUAAUGUAUUGAUUGCUUUAUUUUCCUAUCUUUCGUUAAGGUUUUGGUGAACGAUUUUGCUUUCACUUUCAUGUUUGUAUAUGUUAGGUUUAUUUAUUCUUAUGCCUUUCUCUAAAAAUGGGUUUUUCUUGUUCACUGGUUAAUGAAGCAUGAUUUGGAAUUUGAAAAGCUUAUAAGUGGACUAUUACCCUUUUCCUUAGAGAUUAGGGAAAAGGAAGAAAGUAAUAGUUUUUUUAUUGAGAGGGUGUUUUGAUAUGUCUAGAAGUAAGAAUGGAGAAGAAAUAAAUCUUCCCUUUUCCAAGGGGCUUCUUUGUUUGAGGGUUUAGUGAAUUGAUAAAGGUAUGUUUCACAAUCUAGGAGGGUGUUACUUCAAUUUACUUUUAAGUUCCAUGUGGAGGGGAAUAAAUAACAAUUUUGAAGGAGAGUAGUUGUUUUAUGGGAUAAUUGGGUUUUAGAGGUUAUUGAGAUGGAGGUGUGUGCUUUUUCCAUUUCUUGCCAAUUCAUGAGCUAUGAGGAUAAUUUUGUAUUAAUUUUUACUAAGGUGUAUGAGCCUUUUCUUAGGGAACAAAGAGAGGACUUUUGGGAAGAAUUGACUGACAUUAGAGGGUUUUGGACUGUUAUUAAAUAGUAAAAACAUUUUAGUUGUCAAAAUGUGAAAAUAAUCAUAAUCUUUUAAAAAUAUGACAUAUGAGCUUUUGUUAAAAAAUAUUCAUCAUUAGAAGAUGUUUGACUACUAUUAUGUUAUAGAUAUUUUUCUCCAUAUUUUUUUUUAUGCAGGCCAAUUUAUUUUUUAUUAAGUUGUAGAAUUUAUAUAGUUGUUGUUAGCUUUGAUAGUAAUAAAUAAGAUGAAUGAUAAGUAUGAUACAAUUGGCCUCCAUUUGGGAUGCAAUGUUGCAUUAAUGCUUAUCAAAUGGUAGGAAAUGUUAAUCCUUUUAACUUAACAAAAAACUUAGUUGAUAAAGUAUCAUGGUGUGAACCCUAUUUAUUUCAUGUUACACCAUAUUCCCAAACCUUCCUUUGUUGAUGUUGCGCAUUCGAUGAGGUCUAUUAUUACUAGGCGAUGCCUAAUUGAAUAUUUUAAUGGACUAUUGAUGUUGAUGUUCUCUUGUCCCAAACUUAGUUGGUUUAUUUUUCUAUUUUCUUUUGGGUUAUACUAAAGAUUUAAUGGAUUAUUGAUGUUGAUAUUUUCUUGUCCUAUAUUUGAUUAAUCUCUUGCUUUGUGUUAUAACCAUUGAUAGUAAUUUUUUUGUAAUUAUUCUUAGGGUCACAUAUGUCGAUUGGUAUACACAUUUGUUUUCCUCUUAUAUUGUCAUUAUCAUUUCUUUCUUUCUAUUUCUAAAAGUGUUCACUUAUAUAUCUUUUUUUGAAAUUGUAAUUGAUUUUAGUUUUUUGUGCAUGUAGGUCAUCUUUUUGGGAAAUUAACCUUAUAGUUGGAUAAACUACCAUGAAGCAUUAUGUUGAAGACCAAGGCAUAAUUGGGUUGCAUGUAAAGAAAAAAUGGACCAUUUUAAGGAACUAAACAUUAAAGUUGUGACUUUUAUUUUUUUUGGUUAUUUUAAUAUCUUUUAGUUUUUUUGUGUUUCUUAUACAAG
This 5530-nucleotide long non-coding RNA is filed under the name Vitis vinifera (wine grape). RNAcentral's name for it is "long non-coding RNA (VVIN_LNC004956)". Lineage: Eukaryota; Viridiplantae; Streptophyta; Magnoliopsida; Vitales; Vitaceae. The record is from RNAcentral.